CAGAGUUGAUCAUGGCUCAGGAUGAACGCUAGCUACAGGCUUAACACAUGCAAGUCGAGGGGCAGCAUGUUGGUUGCUUGCAACCAAUGAUGGCGACCGGCGCACGGGUGAGUAACGCGUAUCCAACCUACCCUUGUCCAUCGGAUAACCCGUCGAAAGGCGGCCUAACACGAUAUGCGGUUCUCAGCAGGCAUCUAACGAGAACGAAAUGUGAAGGAGAAGGAUGGGGAUGCGUCUGAUUAGCUUGUUGGCGGGGUAACGGCCACAAGGCGACGAUCAGUAGGGGUUCUGAGAGGAAGGUCCCCCACAUUGGAACUGAGACACGGUCCAAACUCCUACGGGAGCA
Molecule: ribosomal RNA, 346 nt
Filed under: uncultured bacterium
Lineage: Bacteria
Description: bacterial SSU rRNA
Rfam family: Bacterial small subunit ribosomal RNA
Source: RNAcentral